UACGAAGGGGGCUAGCGUUGCUCGGAAUCACUGGGCGUAAAGCGCACGUAGGCGGAUUUUUAAGUCAGGGGUGAAAUCCUGGAGCUCAACUCCAGAACUGCCUUUGAUACUGGGAAUCUAGAGUCCGGAAGAGGUGAGUGGAACUCCGAGUGUAGAGGUGAAAUUCGUAGAUAUUCGGAAGAACACCAGUGGCGAAGGCGGCUCACUGGUCCGGUACUGACGCUGAGGUGCGAAAGCUAGGGGAGCAAACAGG
Molecule: ribosomal RNA, 253 nt
Filed under: uncultured bacterium
Lineage: Bacteria
Description: partial 16S ribosomal RNA
Rfam family: Bacterial small subunit ribosomal RNA
Source: RNAcentral